CCUGACCCGCCCCAUUUUACCUAAAAUCUCAGUCGUCCAUCACCUCAGAUCCCAGGGCCAAGGUUAUUUCUCCACACCCAUAUAAAAGCUCAUUAUAACCUAAAACCCUAAUGAUUCCAUGGUGCCAGCCUCUCAAACUCGCCGGAAUCGGACGAGUUCGCUCAGCUUUUCCCCCACAGUCCCCCUACUCUCAUUUCCUUCUUCCAUGUCACUCAAAUCGUUCAAAUAUCAUCAUUUCGAAUUGAUUCACAUAUUUUUCUUCCUUUAUCUUCUUUGUCUAAAUAAAAAUUCAAAUCGCUUAGAUAAAAGAUUGGGAAAUGGGAGCCAUUGGAUCACCUUCAUUUUUUUAUUUUUUAUUUACAAAAUAGAAUCUUUUGGAAUUUCUUUUGGCGUACACACUGUUUUGGGCAUUUUUUUGCCGAAAAAUGAGAGAAGUUUCGAGAGAGAGCUAUAUAUUUGAGGUUUUUGGGACAGAAAUUUCAGGGACAGAGAUUGGAGGAGAAGAAAUUAGAGCUUGGUUUUUGAAUUUUCUUCUUCUGGUUUUCGUUUUAAGUUCAUUCUGUCUCAAGUCAAAACAAAAAAUACAAAAAAACAGUCCAUAGUUCUGAUUUUGUUGUUCGAAUAUGGGGAUCGAUUGGGCCAAAGUCGAGUUCGUCAUUGGAGGUUUAUGCUCAUGAUUCCUUGCCUAGUUCUAAUUGUUGCACUUAUUCAACUCCGAUACGUUGCUAGAUUUCUUUGUCUGAACAUUCAAGGUUGAAGUUAAUGAAAAUUUUUAAACAUGAUGAGUUGAGGGUCUUCAAGCAAGACUUAUUUUUUUGUAAGUUCAGGGUUAUUUUCACUUUUAAUAUAGUGUUAGCUACCUUCUUUGUUGUUUAAUCGUAUUUUCAUAUGCUAUGAGUUUUUCGUGCAUUUCUUUCGUUUGAAUCCUCGCUGUUGAACUGUCGCAUAACUGGAAAGCAGUUAGAUGUCGAAAGUGAUUCCUUGAGUAUCAUGUUGACUUAUGUGUCAAGAUCAUUUCAUUUUCCUUGGUGUAUAUGGUUAAAAUAUCUGCUACAUUCUUGAUACUAUGUCUAAUUGUUUAGUUGUCUUAAUUCCUCUGCCCAGCCGUCUUUGAGAUCUAAACUAAUGUCCAAG
RNAcentral lists this long non-coding RNA (1134 nucleotides) under Nicotiana benthamiana. RNAcentral describes it as "long non-coding RNA (NBEN_LNC037973)". Lineage: Eukaryota; Viridiplantae; Streptophyta; Magnoliopsida; Solanales; Solanaceae. The record is from RNAcentral.